GAUGAACGCUGGCGGCGUGCUUGACACAUGCAAGUCGAACGGAAAGGCCCAAGCUUGCUUGGGUACUCGAGUGGCGAACGGGUGAGUAACACGUGGGUGAUCUGCCCUGCACUUCGGGAUAAGCCUGGGAAACUGGGUCUAAUACCGGAUAGGACCACUUCUUGGAUGUUGUGGUGGAAAGUUUUUUCGGUGUGGGAUGAGCUCGCGGCCUAUCAGCUUGUUGGUGGGGUAAUGGCCUACCAAGGCGUCGACGGGUAGCCGGCCUGAGAGGGUGUACGGCCACAUUGGGACUGAGAUACGGCCCAGACUCCUACGGGAGGCAGCAGUGGGGAAUAUUGCACAAUGGGCGCAAGCCUGAUGCAGCGACGCCGCGUGGGGGAUGACGGCCUUCGGGUUGUAAACUCCUUUCGCUAGGGACGAAGCGUUUUGUGACGGUACCUGGAGAAGAAGCACCGGCUAACUACGUG
Molecule: ribosomal RNA, 467 nt
Filed under: uncultured bacterium
Lineage: Bacteria
Description: partial 16S ribosomal RNA
Rfam family: Bacterial small subunit ribosomal RNA
Source: RNAcentral